Molecule: ribosomal RNA, 253 nt
Filed under: uncultured bacterium
Lineage: Bacteria
Description: partial 16S ribosomal RNA
Rfam family: Bacterial small subunit ribosomal RNA
Source: RNAcentral
UACGGGGGGGGCAAGCGUUGUUCGGAAUUACUGGGCGUAAAGGGCGCGUAGGCGGCCAACUAAGUCGGAUGUGAAAUCCCCAGGCUUAACUUGGGAACUGCGUCUGAUACUGGGUGGCUUGAGUUCGGGAGAGGAAUGUGGAAUUCCAGGUGUAGCGGUGAAAUGCGUAGAUAUCUGGAGGAACACCGGUGGCGAAGGCGGCAUUCUGGACCGAAACUGACGCUGAGGCGCGAAAGCCAGGGGAGCAAACGGG